RNAcentral lists this transfer RNA (73 nucleotides) under Rhipicephalus sanguineus (brown dog tick). RNAcentral's name for it is "transfer RNA methionine (anticodon CAU)". It matches the Rfam family "tRNA". Rfam says of the family: Transfer RNA (tRNA) molecules are approximately 80 nucleotides in length. The record is from Rfam by way of RNAcentral. Lineage: Eukaryota; Metazoa; Arthropoda; Arachnida; Ixodida; Ixodidae.
GCCUCGGUAGCGCAGUAGGCAGCGCGUCAGUCUCAUAAUCUGAAGGUUGUGAGUUCGAUCCUCACCCGAGGCA